GCCUAAAGCGUCCGUAGCCUGUUCUAUAAGUUUCCGGUUAAAUCCAUUAGCUCAACUAAUGGGCCGCCGAAAAUACUGUGGAACUAGGGAGUGGGAGAGGUAGACGGUAUUCGGUAGGAAGGGGUAAAAUCCUUUGAUCUAUCGAGGACCACCUGUGGCGAAGGCGGUCUACCAGAACACGUUCGACGGUGAGGGAUGAAAGCUGGGGGAGCAAACCGGAUUAGAUACCCGGGUAGUCCCAGCUGUAAACGAUGCAGACUCGGUGAUGCGCUGGCUUGUGGCCAGUGCAGUGCCGCAGGGAAGCCGUUAAGUUUGCCGCCUGGGAAGUACGUACGCAAGUAUGAAACUUAAAGGAAUUGGCGGGGGAGCACCACAAGGGGUGAAGCCUGCGGUUCAAUUGGAGUCAACGCCAGAAAUCUUACCCGGAGAGACAGCAGAAUGAAGGUCAAGUUGAAGCCUUUACCAGACAAGCUGAGAAGUGGUGCAUGGCCGUCGCCAGCUCGUGCCGUGAGGUGUCCUGUUAAGUCAGGUAACGAGCGAGAUCCUUGCCUCUAGUUGCUACCAUUACUCUCAGGAGUAGUGGGGCGAAUUAGCGGGACUGCCGUAGUUAAUACGGAGGAAGGAGAGGGCCACGGCAGGUCAGUAUGCCCCGAA
This 654-nucleotide ribosomal RNA is filed under the name uncultured archaeon. Its description in RNAcentral is "bacterial SSU rRNA". It matches the Rfam family "Archaeal small subunit ribosomal RNA", at positions 508 to 1160 of the family's 1478-position model. The record is from RNAcentral.